GGAAGCCGGUUCGAAUCCGGCGCGGUCGCGCCACUGUGAUCGACAUGUUGCAUGUCGUCAGCCAGAC
RNAcentral lists this non-coding RNA (67 nucleotides) under Pseudomonas rhizosphaerae. The record is from RNAcentral. Lineage: Bacteria; Pseudomonadati; Pseudomonadota; Gammaproteobacteria; Pseudomonadales; Pseudomonadaceae.